UGGGGAAUAUUGGACAAUGGGCGAAAGCCUGAUCCAGCCAUGCCGCGUGUGUGAAGAAGGUCUUCGGAUUGUAAAGCACUUUAAGUUGGGAGGAAGGGUUGUAGAUUAAUACUCUGCAAUUUUGACGUUACCGACAGAAUAAGCACCGGCUAACUCUGUGCCAGCAGCCGCGGUAAUACAGAGGGUGCAAGCGUUAAUCGGAAUUACUGGGCGUAAAGCGCGCGUAGGUGGUUAGUUAAGUUGGAUGUGAAAUCCCCGGGCUCAACCUGGGAACUGCAUUCAAAACUGACUGACUAGAGUAUGGUAGAGGGUGGUGGAAUUUCCUGUGUAGCGGUGAAAUGCGUAGAUAUAGGAAGGAACACCAGUGGCGAAGGCGACCACCUGGACUGAUACUGACACUGAGGUGCGAAAGCGUGGGGAGCAAACAGGAUUAGAUACCCCGGUAGUCCCUGAGCGGGCUGGCAAGGCGCAU
RNAcentral lists this ribosomal RNA (472 nucleotides) under uncultured bacterium. Its description in RNAcentral is "bacterial SSU rRNA". It matches the Rfam family "Bacterial small subunit ribosomal RNA", at positions 355 to 825 of the family's 1533-position model. The record is from RNAcentral.